CAGGUGAGGCUAAAACAACUGUCGCACCUUUUGUACAAGGUGGCGUUAGUGAUGGCCAGUGGCAUUCAGUUCAGCUUCACUAUUACAACAAGAGAAUUGGCGAGUGAGCAGAAUUCAAUCAGCGAGCGCAAGCACUGAACACUCUGGUGUUUUGACUGCUAAACACUUCAAAUUGGGCUGCAUCAGGUUGCACUGCACAGACGCAGGCGACGUCAAUUCCUCAAGCCCGACUUGCAGCAUUGAGUUUGAAUUUAGAAGAUGACAAUUCAACUCAAACAAAGUUAAGUCUGACACAGAGAAAAGGACCAAUGUGUGUACUUCUAACAUGUUUGGUUGGUAAAAUGUUGUAAAUUCAAAUCAGAGCAUCUUCCGUGUCUGGAAUGGAUGUAUUCUUGAGUCUAUAAGGUAACAAUAAUAUAAUAUGAUAACCUUGUUUGAAAUGAGUUUGGCUAAAUGAAAAUGUGGGUUUUGUCUAUACUACUAGGUAACUUACUUAUACUACAUUGACUGAGUUAAACAGAUUUGCAUUGCUAAAAAGAGACUAAAAUACAAUUUUCAUUGACUAAAACUAGACUAAAUGUCAUUAGUUUUUUUUUCAACUAAAACUAGACGAAAAUAAUCAUGGAUUAUUCUGACUAAAAUAAAAACUAAAAUGCUCCGGCUUUUAGUUGACUGAAACUUGACCAGACUAAAAAGAGUAUGAACGUGACUAAAACUAAUAAAAACUAAAAUGACAGCUUUACACAAAGACUACACUAAAACUAGAAUUAAAGAAGUUACCAAAAACAACAGUAUUUGACAACAAAGUUCAGUUUGUUUGGUUAGGGUUUAAACACCUGAAUCUCCCCAAAAAUGUAGCUUUAUUGUAAUGCAUAAUUGGUACGAAAACAAUAAAACAAUAAGGCAUAAUUAGCAUCUUAAGCAUAACUGUCACUAGAACUUGUUUUAACAUAAUUGCCAUUUCUGCCUUGAUGACUACUGACCACUGUUAUUUUAACUGAAAAGAAUGCAUCAAGCUCGUGAUCAUGAGUUUAUAAGUUGGAAAUAGGAAGUUUUCGAUAGUACGUGAAGACAGCAGAGAAGCGCUCUCGCUCAACACAGUGGAGUGAAUCAUUUUGCUAAUUUUGUGGUUUAUUAUUUUGAGUUGUAUGGGACUCGGUUACACACAUCCCUCUCACAGUAUAUUGCUUUACAGACUUACUGCUCAGAAAUACGAGUCUCUACCCACCUAUUAAGUGUUGUCCUGCAACGCACUCUGCUUUGAUGGAUCCCGCGGCCGUGCAGGUCUCUAAUAGGAAGGACAGCCUGCACCUGCUGGACUCCAGUGGGGUGCUGCGCGUCCAUCUCUAUACCGCCUGGCUGGAGCUCACUCAUAAGGAGGUACUGUAUCCAGUGACCUAAUGUAGCUCUGCGGUGGCGGUUCCUGCUAUCCUUCCAGCCUUAGGGUCCUGGCAUUUACAAAGCAUCUCAGAGUUUCCCGUGCUACUUUCGCAUCAGUUCUGCACUUGGUCAUAUAGAGACAAAGGGCAACAUUGGGAGGAGGCAAUCAAAUUCAAAAUCUUCUUCUGUAGUUUGAGAAGCUUUGUGAAUACAGACCCACAUCUUCUUCUCUGACUCCAGCAGUUUAUAUCUGUGUCCAAAGAGAUUCAUUAGUAGGGAUAUGAAUCUCAGGUAAAUUUACAGUCAGGCUCAGUUUCUACUUAGUGAGUUUGUCAGCACUUCCAUUAAGCA
This is a long non-coding RNA of Carassius auratus (goldfish), 1731 nucleotides long. RefSeq lists it as uncharacterized. The transcript has 4 exons. The record is from RefSeq and is a predicted model, not a curated record. Lineage: Eukaryota; Metazoa; Chordata; Actinopteri; Cypriniformes; Cyprinidae.